UGCCAGCCGCCGCGGUAAUACUGAAGGUGCAAGCGUUAAUCGGAAUCACUGGGCGUAAAGCGCUCGUAGGUGGCGAGGUAAGUCAGAUGUGAAAGCUCAGGGCUCAACCCUGAAAUUGCAUCCGAUACUGCCUUGCUAGAGUAAUGGAGGGGAGUCUGGAAUUCACGGUGUAGCAGUGAAAUGCGUAGAUAUCGUGAGGAACACUAGUGGCGAAGGCGAGACUCUGGACAUUUACUGACGCUCAGGCACGAAGGCUAGGGUAGCGGAGCGGAUUAGAUA
RNAcentral lists this ribosomal RNA (279 nucleotides) under uncultured bacterium. Its description in RNAcentral is "partial 16S ribosomal RNA". It matches the Rfam family "Bacterial small subunit ribosomal RNA", at positions 506 to 784 of the family's 1533-position model. The record is from RNAcentral.